This 524-nucleotide ribosomal RNA is filed under the name Acrapex unicolora. RNAcentral describes it as "partial 16S ribosomal RNA". The stretch from base 392 to 524 matches the Rfam family "Archaeal large subunit ribosomal RNA", at positions 2542 to 2675 of the family's 2987-position model. Lineage: Eukaryota; Metazoa; Arthropoda; Insecta; Lepidoptera; Noctuidae. The record is from RNAcentral.
AAAACAUGUCUUUUUGGAAAUAAUAUAAAGUCUAAUCUGCCCACUGAUAAAAAUUGAAGGGCUGCAGUAUAUUGACUGUACAAAGGUAGCAUAAUCAUUAGUCAUUUAAUUGAUGACUUGUAUGAAAGAUUGGAUGAGAUAUAUACUGUCUCUUAUUUAGUUAUAAAAUUUAAUUUUUUUAUUAAAAAGUUAAAAUGAUUUAAAAAGACGAGAAGACCCUAUAGAGUUUAAUAAAUGAAUAAUUUAAUUUUAUUUUGUAAAAUAAUAUUAAAAAUUAUUUAUUUAUUUUAUUGGGGUGAUAGAAAAAUAAAUAAAACUUUUUUUAAAGAAAAACAUUUAUAAGUGAUUAAAUGAUCCAAUAAUAUUGAUUAUAAGAAAAAAUUACCUUAGGGAUAACAGCGUAAUUUUUUUUUUUAGUUCAAAUAAGAAAAAGAGUUUGCGACCUCGAUGUUGGAUUAAGAUAAAAUUUGAAUGUAGAAGUUUAAAAUUUUGAUCUGUUCGAUCAUUAAAAUCUUACAUGAUCU